Molecule: transfer RNA, 71 nt
Filed under: Phrynosoma platyrhinos (Desert horned lizard)
Lineage: Eukaryota; Metazoa; Chordata; Lepidosauria; Squamata; Phrynosomatidae
Description: tRNA-OTHER
Source: RNAcentral
GCCAGUGUGGCAUAAUGGUUUGAGUGUUGGACUAGGACUCUGGAGACCAGGGUUUGAUUCCUGCUUGGCCA